GAACUCUAAUGUGUGUGAUCUCAUAGGUUCGAACCUAAGUCAGUAUCAUAAAAAUAAAUUUCUGUAUCAAUCGAAGUGACCAUCUAGCAAUGGUAUCCGACAGUCGGAUAGGUCGAAUGUGUGGAAUAACAUCCUUAGAAUCCAUACGGAUAUAGUUUCCAUAUAAUUCAUCCCCUUGAUCAAAAUGCUCAUAGGACACCUCAGAGUUUCACUGUCAACUCUGAUCAG
Molecule: long non-coding RNA, 228 nt
Filed under: Elaeis guineensis (African oil palm)
Lineage: Eukaryota; Viridiplantae; Streptophyta; Magnoliopsida; Arecales; Arecaceae
Description: long non-coding RNA (EGUI_LNC065058)
Source: RNAcentral